This 253-nucleotide ribosomal RNA is filed under the name uncultured bacterium. RNAcentral describes it as "partial 16S ribosomal RNA". It matches the Rfam family "Bacterial small subunit ribosomal RNA", at positions 524 to 776 of the family's 1533-position model. The record is from RNAcentral.
UACGGAGGGUGCAAGCGUGGUCCGGAUUUAUUGGGUUUAAAGGGUGCGUAGGCGGCCCGUUAAGUCAGUGGUGAAAGCCUCCAGCUCAACUGGAGAACUGCCAUUGAUACUGGCGGGCUUGAGUACAGACGAGGUUGGCGGAAUUGAUUGUGUAGCGGUGAAAUGCAUAGAUACAAUCAAGAACUCCGAUUGCGUAGGCAGCUAACUAGGCUGUAACUGACGCUGAGGCACGAAAGCGUGGGGAGCGAACAGG